AUCCAUCUUCGGGGCAGGGUGAAAUUCCCGACCGGCGGUAUUUGAAGAUUCCCUCUUCAUCAGCCCGUGAGCUGUAAGAAAAGCUUCAACGCCUGUCUAGGCGUUGAAGCUAGACAUCUUUGCUUUUCUUAUUUGCUGAUCUGGUGUAAUUCCAGAGCCGACAGUACAGUCUGGAUGGGAGAAGAUGACG
This 190-nucleotide non-coding RNA is filed under the name Fictibacillus enclensis. RNAcentral's name for it is "FMN sequence". It matches the Rfam family "FMN riboswitch aptamer (RFN element)". Rfam says of the family: The RFN element is a highly conserved domain that is found frequently in the 5'-untranslated regions of prokaryotic mRNAs that encode for flavin mononucleotide (FMN) biosynthesis and transport proteins. This element is a metabolite-dependent riboswitch that directly binds FMN in the absence of proteins. The record is from Rfam by way of RNAcentral. Lineage: Bacteria; Bacillati; Bacillota; Bacilli; Caryophanales; Fictibacillaceae.